ACAGACCACCAUAACUGAUAUAUAAUAAUGACAAAGUUUGAAAUAUCGCGAGAUUUACCAAACCUUGACAGAGAUAUUUGCCUAAGUGCCGUGGGGAAAAUGGCGUCGUCAGACUUGCGCAACGCAGUGUUGCCGGCCUCCCAUUGGUUAAAAAUGCGGCAUCUGUGAGGCACAAUGAUAUGAGAUGAGGGCCCUCACCCAGUGCCAGGAGAUGUCUCUGGGCCAGCGUCACCCAGCCAGGAAGGGGCGAGUCAGAGUCUGCCCUCUCACUUCUCUUGGAUCCCAAACUCCUGGCUCUUUCCUGCCCAGCCAGCUCCCCUCCGGAAGGAAACUCUGCCCAGAAACAUGCCCGGUUGGCACUGCUCAGCCUGGGAGGCUUGGUCGGCCCAGAUCCUGUGAAUGCCUCCCACACUGCCCUUCCUCUGGGCCAUAAAGACCCCCUCCUCUCAGCCCUGCCUGACCCAGGCAGGUGAAACAGCGAGACCGCCCGAGGGCACUAUCCCCAUUUCACAGAUGAGAAAACUGAGGUUCCUGUCACAGGACUCAAAUCUUAUUCCAACCAGUAAGCCGCCUCUCUUACUCCUUGAUACACGGAUGCCUCUGGACAAAGCUGACUAUAGACGAGCCUUCCAGAACUGAUCUUGCAACCUGCCUCCUCCUUGGCUCACAGGACUUGGCCCUGGAGACAUCAAUAAGAGACUCAGUUCACUUCUGUCCAGAAGCCAGCAGGGCCUCCUUGCCCCCAGUUGUUUCAGCCACUGGGAGAGCAAGGACACCACAGUGAGCAGGGCAGACACCAUUCCUGUCCUCGUGGGGCUGACAGUCCAAUGGUGACGAUUACCGUGUGCCCUGGAUGGGCGACUCGGCCUUUUGGGCCUCCGUUCUCUGACGGUUGGUUUGGCUGCCAACCCCUACUGCAGCAGAAGUCCAGUGGGAAGAAAACCGGAAGCCCUCCAUCCAUGGCACAGACUUACAAAGUGGCUCCAGAGUCUGUGGUCUGAAACUCUACACCAUACACACUUGGUACAUAGCUUCUAGAAAACUCUAUCAGGGCUUUCUGGUGACUGGACCAUAAGUGGUUUUGAUUUUUUUUUUUUCUUUCCCUUUUGGCCCAUGUGUGUUUUGGGUUUUCUACACUAAGACCAUCCACUGCUUACAUACCUUACCAAAAAUAGAAAGUAAAAAGAAAUAUCAGUAUUUAAGCCAGUCAAUCGAUGUGCUAUUUCUGUGUACCUUCUGUUGUGAAUGAACCACCCCCAUAUCACUGCCAAAGUCACUUGUCCCCAGAUCUUGUGGCCACGGGGGUCCCUUCCCCAUGCUGUCAGCCAGGGUAUACAUCGCAGUCUGAGUUGCCU
This is a non-coding RNA of Odocoileus virginianus texanus, 1355 nucleotides long. Lineage: Eukaryota; Metazoa; Chordata; Mammalia; Artiodactyla; Cervidae. The record is from RefSeq and is a predicted model, not a curated record.